UCCAUGCGGCACCUGUACCGCAAACGGACACACGUGGUCGGGUAGAACAUACUAAGGCGUUGAGAGAUUCUUGGUUAAGGAACUAGGCAAAUUGACCCUGUAACUUCGGGAUAAAGGGUCCUCACAGGAAUGUGAGGCGCAGAGAAUAGGUCCAGGCAACUGUUUAACAAAAACACAGGGCUGUGCAAACUCGAAAGAUGA
Molecule: ribosomal RNA, 201 nt
Filed under: Segatella bryantii
Lineage: Bacteria; Pseudomonadati; Bacteroidota; Bacteroidia; Bacteroidales; Prevotellaceae
Description: Prevotella bryantii partial 23S ribosomal RNA
Rfam family: Bacterial large subunit ribosomal RNA
Source: RNAcentral